CGAACGCACCUUCGGGUGGGAGUGGCAGACGGGUGAGUAACACGUGGGAACGUACCCUUUGGUUCGGGACAACUCUGGGAAACUGGAGCUAAUACCGGAUAUGCCCUUUUGGGGAAAGGUUUACUGCCGAAGGAUCGGCCCGCGUCUGAUUAGCUAGUUGGUGGGGUAACGGCCUACCAAGGCGACGAUCAGUAGCUGGUCUGAGAGGAUGAUCAGCCACACUGGGACUGAGACACGGCCCAGACUCCUACGGGAGGCAGCAGUGGGGAAUAUUGGACAAUGGGCGCAAGCCUGAUCCAGCCAUGCCGCGUGAGUGAUGAAGGCCUUAGGGUUGUAAAGCUCUUUUAUCCGGGACGAUAAUGACGGUACCGGAGGAAUAAGCCCCGGCUAACUUCGUGCCAGCAGCCGCGGUAAUACGAAGGGGGCUAGCGUUGCUCGGAAUCACUGGGCGUAAAGGGCGCGUAGGCGGCGUUUUAAGUCGGGGGUGAAAGCCUGUGGCUCAACCACAGAAUGGCCUUCGAUACUGGGACGCUUG
Molecule: ribosomal RNA, 535 nt
Filed under: uncultured bacterium
Lineage: Bacteria
Description: bacterial SSU rRNA
Rfam family: Bacterial small subunit ribosomal RNA
Source: RNAcentral